Molecule: unclassified non-coding RNA, 269 nt
Filed under: Secundilactobacillus paracollinoides
Lineage: Bacteria; Bacillati; Bacillota; Bacilli; Lactobacillales; Lactobacillaceae
Source: RNAcentral
GUGUGAAACUCGCCUCAAGAUGAGAUUUCCCAUUCCUWUAUGGAAGUAAGACCCCUGAGAGAUGAUCAGGUAGRUAGGCUAGAAGUGGAAGUCCAGUGAUGGAUGGAGCGGACUAGUACUAAUCGGUCGAGGACUUAACCAAGUAAGAAAACGGUGAUUUCCGGUAGGAAAACGAUAUUAUCUAGUUUUGAGAGCAUCAGUUCUCAAUAGUGUGGUGGCGAUAGCCUGAAGGAUACACCUGUUCCCAUGCCGAACACAGAAGUUAAGCU